AGUGAACGCUGGCGGUAGGCCUAACACAUGCAAGUCGAACGGCAGCACAGUAAGAGCUUGCUCUUACGGGUGGCGAGUGGCGGACGGGUGAGGAAUACAUCGGAAUCUACUUUUUCGUGGGGGAUAACGUAGGGAAACUUACGCUAAUACCGCAUACGACCUACGGGUGAAAGCAGGGGAUCUUCGGACCUUGCGCGAUUGAAUGAGCCGAUGUCGGAUUAGCUAGUUGGCGGGGUAAAGGCCCACCAAGGCGACGAUCCGUAGCUGGUCUGAGAGGAUGAUCAGCCACACUGGAACUGGGACACGGUCCAGACUCCUACGGGAGGCAGCAGUGGGGAAUAUUGGACAAUGGGGGCGAGCCUGGUCCAGCCAUACCGCGUGUGUGAAGAAGGCCUUCGGGUUGUAAAGCCCUUUUGUUGGGAAAGAACAGCAGCAGGUUAAUACCCCGCUGUUCUGACGGUACCCAAAGAAUAAGCACCGGCUAACUUCGUG
RNAcentral lists this ribosomal RNA (492 nucleotides) under uncultured bacterium. RNAcentral's name for it is "partial 16S ribosomal RNA". It matches the Rfam family "Bacterial small subunit ribosomal RNA", at positions 29 to 507 of the family's 1533-position model. The record is from RNAcentral.